RNAcentral lists this ribosomal RNA (505 nucleotides) under uncultured bacterium. RNAcentral describes it as "partial 16S ribosomal RNA". It matches the Rfam family "Bacterial small subunit ribosomal RNA", at positions 28 to 507 of the family's 1533-position model. The record is from RNAcentral.
GACGAACGCUGGCGGCGUGCCUAAUACAUGCAAGUAGAACGCACAGUUUAUACCGUAGCUUGCUACACCAUAGACUGUGAGUUGCGAACGGGUGAGUAACGCGUAGGUAACCUGCCUGGUAGCGGGGGAUAACUAUUGGAAACGAUAGCUAAUACCGCAUAAUAUUAAUUAUUGCAUGAUAAUUAAUUGAAAGGUGCAAUUGCACCACUACCAGAUGGACCUGCGUUGUAUUAGCUAGUAGGUGAGGUAACGGCUCACCUAGGCGACGAUACAUAGCCGACCUGAGAGGGGGAUCGGCCACACUGGGACUGAGACACGGCCCAGACUCCUACGGGAGGCAGCAGUAGGGAAUCUUCGGCAAUGGACGAAAGUCUGACCGAGCAACGCCGCGUGAGUGAAGAAGGGUUUCGGAUCGUAAAGCUCGGUUGUAAGAGAAGAACGGGUGUGAGAGUGGAAAGUUCACACUGUGACGGUAUCUUACCAGAAAGGGACGGCUAACUACGUG